UGGGGAAUAUUGCACAAUGGAGGGAACUCUGAUGCAGCGACGCCGCGUGAACGAAGAAGGCUUUCGCGUCGUAAAGUUCUUUUAUAUGGGAAGAUAAUGACGGUACCAUAAGAAAAAGCCCCGGCUAACUACGUGCCAGCAGCCGCGGUAAUACGUAGGGGGCUAGUGUUGUCCGGAAUCACUGGGCGUAAAGGGUUCGCAGGCGGAAAUGCAAGUCAGGUGUAAAAGGCAGUAGCUUAACUACUGUAAGCAUUUGAAACUGCAUAUCUUGAGAAGAGUAGAGGUAAGUGGAAUUUUUAGUGUAGCGGUGAAAUGCGUAGAUAUUAAAAAGAAUACCGGUGGCGAAGGCGACUUACUGGGCUCAUUCUGACGCUGAGGAACGAAAGCGUGGGUAGCAAACAGG
RNAcentral lists this ribosomal RNA (403 nucleotides) under bacterium. Its description in RNAcentral is "partial 16S ribosomal RNA". It matches the Rfam family "Bacterial small subunit ribosomal RNA", at positions 355 to 776 of the family's 1533-position model. The record is from RNAcentral.